Long non-coding RNA from Notothenia coriiceps (black rockcod), 587 nucleotides. RefSeq lists it as uncharacterized. The record is from RefSeq and is a predicted model, not a curated record. NCBI's taxonomy places the organism in Eukaryota, Metazoa, Chordata, Actinopteri, Perciformes, Nototheniidae. The transcript is spliced from 3 exons.
GGAGAGAGGGCGCUCUGGAGCUGACGGUAUCUGGACUGAGAGCCACAGACACAGAUCUGUAUCGCUGUGACAUAGAGAUCUUCUACCCUCCACCGUACCUGCGGUUCACUGGAAACGGCACCCUCAUUCACAUCUUAGGCAGCUCUGACUGUCCGGCGCCGGAGGCUCAGAGACAGAUUUCAAACAAAGAAGAUGAAGGAGAGGAAGAUGAGGAUGAAGAGACGGCGGCACCAGUCAGUGUUGCUGUGAUCGUCCUGGUGAUACUGGUGCUGUUCGUCCUCAUAGUCAUUACGUACCUCCAGGCCUCACAGUGCGAUCGAGGGAGGAGGGAGAUUAUCAGACCGGUUCACACGGUGGACGCUGCUUUAUUUCCAUGUUACAACUCGGCAUGAAAAUCAGGAUUUGAUAGUCAAGUCGGGCCUAUUUCGUCCAUCUUUGCCUAGUAUCAUUAAAGUACCAUUGAUUUGAAUGGAGGAUAAAAGUAAAUAGGGUCGGUCGUUACCCUUUAUUAAAGAUCACCUCUGUUAUGAGUUUUUUUUUUUUACCGAAAGAAGAACAAAUAUCAGAAUUGCAUUUUGGUGUGUGUA